RNAcentral lists this ribosomal RNA (274 nucleotides) under uncultured bacterium. RNAcentral's name for it is "partial 16S ribosomal RNA". It matches the Rfam family "Bacterial small subunit ribosomal RNA", at positions 523 to 796 of the family's 1533-position model. The record is from RNAcentral.
AUACGGAGGGGGCUAGCGUUGUUCGGAAUUACUGGGCGUAAAGGGCGCGUAGGCGGAUUGUCAAGUCAGAGGUGAAAGCCCUGGGCUCAACCUGGGAACUGCCUUUGAAACUAACGGUCUAGAGUCCGAGAGAGGAUGGCGGAAUUCCCAGUGUAGAGGUGAAAUUCGUAGAUAUUGGGAAGAACACCAGUGGCGAAGGCGGCCAUCUGGCUCGGUACUGACGCUGAGGCGCGAAAGCGUGGGGAGCAAACAGGAUUAGAAACCCGAGUAGUCC